AUUUAAUUGUUGGAUGUAAUUGUUGGAUUUUCGAAAGAUGGGUGUUAAUGGGUCAACCCCUUUUAUGCUGUUUCUCCUUGCUCUCUAGCUGUUCGACGAAAUGUCUGAAUGACGAUUGUAUUGAUGAUGCCUAUUGGGUUAUUGUGUUAAUUAAUCUAUCUUUUUCUGUACAAGUUCAAUCUGGUGGCUGCUCUAAGCAUUAGUAUAUUUUUCAAAGUGUAUCUGCCUCAAUUCAGCUCUCACCAAAUUGUUUGUCUGGGAUUCACCUUUUUAUUUAUAUUUUUCCAGAUUUUUGGUUUAGAUUUUGUUAAUUAACUCUAUGCGAUUGCUUUAAUUCCCUGUUUUGGUUUAGAUUUUUGGCUUUUUCUUCUAUGGCUGUUUGUCUGCGAUUCACUUUUCUAUUUAUAUUUUUUCAAAUUUUUGGUUUUGAUUUUGUUAAUUAACUCUAUGUGAUGGCUUUAAUUCCCUGUUUUGGUUUAGAUUUUUGGCUGGGAGUAAGCGAUUGCUUUACUUCCCUUUUUUGCUGGUUUAUGAGUUCUAAUUUUCUUUGAAUUGAUUCCAAUGUCUAAGGUUUUAAGUUGGCUGAGGUCUCCGAGCACAUCACCAGCAAGGGCUCCGAGAACUGCAUAAAAAGGUAAAUGCUUGCUGCCACAAUAAUGUUCCUUUGAAUCUUACUGAGUUGGAGAGUUUUAUUGUUAUAACUAUGUCCUGUCAAAAUUGUUUGCCUCCACCAAUGAAUGGAUUGUGCAUUAUUUAUUUGGAGAUUUAUAGGCUACUAUGUUAUUCUCAUGGCCUUGAUUGUGAACUAAUUUGUUGACACCAAAUGAUGUGAUUAUAUGGUAAUUUUUUUGUAUUUCCGAGCAGUCCAUACAAUCAUUGAUUACUGAUUGUGUCACAAGGAAUAUUAAACAGAUUGUCUAAGGUUUUGAGGGUGGCUUGAAAUAGGCAGUGUGCUACAAUUUUCUAGGAUUUUUAUGUAUUAAACUAUUCUCAGAAGUUGUUGAUUCUGCAUGGUUGAUUACGAAUGAAGCUGGAGCCUGGAACAAGUGAAACUACAGUUUCUUUGUAUAAAAGUUACUCACCUUUGCAAUAGCCUUAGACGGGUAAUCCCCUCCGAGUCUACCAUCCACACACUGGUCUAAGCAUUAUAUGAGUACUCAACAUACAAGUAGGAUUUCAAAUUACUUUGGUGAUAAGUUGAUCGAAUUUCGGGUGAGUUAUUGGCUCCACAAUUGCAAGAAAUCUGUUUUCAAAUUUUGCAUAUUAUGUGUUUGACAAAAUGCUUGAGAGAACCGUGUGAAUUUUUCUUUACAUUCUUGAGAUUGUCUCUUGCUGAUUCUUUUCUUCUUAUUUUUGUUGCAGGGAUUAAAGUAGAAGCUUGAGAUUAGAGCUGAGAUUAGAACUGCUGCAGAACUUUGAUUUUCCUCCGACUUCUUUUCUUGAAAGAAAUCUGGUGAGCUAUGUUUUUGGAAUUUAUAAGAGCUUUGCCUCUGUAAUCUGCACAUCAGUUGCAUUCAAACCUUAAACUGGUUAUGUAUAUAUAUGAUCCUAUUUAACUAGCCAUGUACAAGCUUCAAAUGGGGAAAAUUCUGCUUACCUCAUUUAUAUAUAUUUUUCGAUGGAAUAAAGCUUUGGAUAUGAGGUGAUAUUGUAGUUUAUACUUCUCUUGGCUUCAUGUUGUUAAUAACUCUUAUUAGAAUAAUAAUAUGAAUGCGUUUGUAUGUAUUAUAUAUGAAUUAUGAAGGGAUAACAAAUGCAAUUGUGUGUUGUGAGCAAACUAAUGCUGGACCUGUUUUCACACUCUUCCUUCUAUGCUUGAAUCUUGCUGAAGUAAUCAUAUGAGUUUGAAACAUUCAAGAUGAAUGAUAAUUAUCUUUCAUGUAAGGGCUUGCGGUGUUUGAUGAGUAGCUAGAAUAUAUAUCAACUUCUAAAGUUGCUCAGUGGUUUUUAAUAAUAUUCUAAACGAAUUGUGAUCCUUUUUUUUUCUUCUUCUUAAAAAACGAAGUCUGUAGACUACUUGCAGUUCUAUAAUAAUGAAUUUUAUUUUCGAAUCUCUUAUAUAUGCUGCAUAGCUUAUAUUUGAUAUUAUGCUUAUGCGUACUAAUCUACAAGUGGAAUGCUUCACUUUUAUAAAACUCAUAGUCCUACAACGUCAUUAAUGUCUAUUUAUUUACUCAAUUUGCAAAUUUCAAUUUGAAAUCCUCAUAAAUUUUUGAAAGUUGUAUAAAAUAUUCUCAAUGUUAUAUUUAAGUCUUAUCCUUAAUUCAGUGUCCUAUAUAAUAACUCUACAGUUUCUAUUUUCAUUUAUCUAUAUUCAUUAACGCCUUUUUAAUUUUGUAUUUUAUUUCUAAUAAUUAUUAUAUAAUUAUAUUGUAAUAUUUUCUAAAGAAACAAUCAACCCAAAUGGCCAUAAUGAGAAACAAAAAUCAAAAUUUUGACCCAUAAUCUUAAAACAUCAAAAUCUGGCCAUUAAUUAGGCGGAAUGCCCAAUUUGCCCUUUUUACCCAUCGCACUCCACAACCUGCAGCCGAUGAGAGGGGAAGACCACUUGUCGGGAGUCUGGGCCUUCAUCCAGGC
RNAcentral lists this long non-coding RNA (2577 nucleotides) under Salvia miltiorrhiza (redroot sage). RNAcentral's name for it is "long non-coding RNA (SMIL_LNC006161)". Lineage: Eukaryota; Viridiplantae; Streptophyta; Magnoliopsida; Lamiales; Lamiaceae. The record is from RNAcentral.